RNAcentral lists this long non-coding RNA (315 nucleotides) under Androctonus crassicauda. Lineage: Eukaryota; Metazoa; Arthropoda; Arachnida; Scorpiones; Buthidae. The record is from RNAcentral.
GUCCGAGAACGUUUUGCCAUGUGGGGUUGUACACUUUGCUACAGUGCUUCUUUGGAAGUUAUAUUACAUCAACAUUUCCCAAACUAUGCUCCGCGGAGCACCAGUGCUCUGCACGAAGGUUGCAAGUGCUCCGCGAAAAAAUAUUAAUAACAAAGCUUUUUUUCUACAUUUUGACUAUAAUAAUUUUACAUAUGAAUUAAUUCAUGACAUUCAUAUUGGCACCACAGAAUGUCACAUAUGCUUAAUAACCAAUCGCGGCAAACCCAGACAGGUGGUUCUCACUAGCACCAUGACGGACUCUGUGCAAUCUAAUCC